GAAUCCAAGCUAUCUCCGCAAAUAACCAUCUUCAUCUUUACGGGCCUCAACUUUAAAUCCCUCGGCUAAGACAUCUGGAAGGGCAGGCAGGGAGUAAAAUUAGAAGAUUGGAACUGUACAUUGGGAAAGCUGGAAGAUACCUCAGGCGCGCAUAUGUUGUUCCAAAAUCGAAGUGAUUGAACUUAGGAAUUUUGCGAAGACGCGAGCGCAGGAGUUGGUACGAAGAGCUUUAUUCUGUUAUUAGUUUUGAAGGCCACUGUCAAAAACUGUGAGGUUUAAUGUGCUGAAGGUGAUUCCAGCAGGCGCCUCCUGGGGUGGAAAGAAG
This is a non-coding RNA of Coffea arabica (coffee), 325 nucleotides long. The record is from RefSeq and is a predicted model, not a curated record. NCBI's taxonomy places the organism in Eukaryota, Viridiplantae, Streptophyta, Magnoliopsida, Gentianales, Rubiaceae.